GCAAGUGAUGAUUUCGACAUUCUUCACUUUGACCUGAUUUUUAGUUUGAUGAUGAUAUUGUGUCUGAGC
Molecule: small nucleolar RNA, 69 nt
Organism: Phycodurus eques (leafy seadragon)
Lineage: Eukaryota; Metazoa; Chordata; Actinopteri; Syngnathiformes; Syngnathidae
Product: small nucleolar RNA SNORD37
Exons: 1
Source: RefSeq, a predicted model, not a curated record